GACGAACGCUGGCGGCGUGCUUAACACAUGCAAGUCGAACGGAAAGGCCCUGCUUUUGUGGGGUGCUCGAGUGGCGAACGGGUGAGUAACACGUGAGUAACCUGCCCUUGACUUUGGGAUAACUUCAGGAAACUGGGGCUCAUACCGGAUAGGAGCUCCUGCUGCAUGGUGGGGGUUGGAAAGUUUCGGCGGUUGGGGAUGGACUCGCGGCUUAUCAGCUUGUUGGUGGGGUAGUUGCUUACCAAGGCUUUGACGGGUAGCCGGCCUGAGAGGGUGACCGGCGACAAGGGGACUGAGAUACGGCCCAGACGCCUACGGGAGGCAGCAGGGGGGAAUAUGGCACAGUGGGCGGAAGCCUGAGGCAGAAACGCCGCGUGCGGGAUGACGGCCUUCGGGUUGUAAACCGAUGUCGCCUGUGACGAAGAGGGAGUGACGGUAAUGGGUAAAGAAGCAACGGCUAACUACGUG
Molecule: ribosomal RNA, 468 nt
Filed under: uncultured bacterium
Lineage: Bacteria
Description: partial 16S ribosomal RNA
Rfam family: Bacterial small subunit ribosomal RNA
Source: RNAcentral